GCUUGUCUCAAAGAUUAAGCCAUGCAUGUCUCAGUAUAAGCUUUUACACGGCGAAACUGCGAAUGGCUCAUUAAAACAGUUAUCGUUUCUUUGGUGGUUAUUGAUUACAUGGAUAACCGUGGUAAUUCUAGAGCUAAUACAUGCGCCCAGACCCAACUUUUAGGAAGGGUUGUAUUUAUUAGAUCAAAACCAAACGGCUUCGGCCGUCUCAUUGGUGACUCUGAAUAACUUUGGGCUGAUCGUAUGGCCUUGUGCCGACGACGUUUCCUUCGAAGGUGUGCCCUAUCAACUGUCGACUGUGAUAUAGACGCUCACAGUGGUUUUGACGGGUAACGGGGAAUCAGGGUUCGAUUCCGGAGAGGGAGCCUUAAAAACGGCUACCACAUCCAAGGAAGGCAGCAGG
Molecule: ribosomal RNA, 403 nt
Filed under: uncultured fungus
Lineage: Eukaryota; Fungi
Description: partial small subunit ribosomal RNA
Rfam family: Eukaryotic small subunit ribosomal RNA
Source: RNAcentral